RNAcentral lists this ribosomal RNA (299 nucleotides) under Hansenula anomala. Its description in RNAcentral is "Wickerhamomyces anomalus partial large subunit ribosomal RNA". It matches the Rfam family "Eukaryotic large subunit ribosomal RNA", at positions 296 to 600 of the family's 3401-position model. Lineage: Eukaryota; Fungi; Ascomycota; Saccharomycetes; Phaffomycetales; Wickerhamomycetaceae. The record is from RNAcentral.
GUGGUAAAUUCCAUCUAAAGCUAAAUAUUGGCGAGAGACCGAUAGCGAACAAGUACAGUGAUGGAAAGAUGAAAAGAACUUUGAAAAGAGAGUGAAAAAGUACGUGAAAUUGUUGAAAGGGAAGGGCAUUAGAUCAGACUUGGUGUUUUACGAUUAUCUUCUCUUCUUGAGUUGUGCACUCGUAUUUCACUGGGCCAGCAUCGAUUCGGAUGGCAAGAUAAUGGCAGUUGAAUGUGGCUUCACUUCGGUGGAGUGUUAUAGCUUCUGCUGAUAUUGCCUGUCUGGAUCGAGGGCUGCGU